Molecule: small nuclear RNA, 62 nt
Filed under: Prolemur simus (greater bamboo lemur)
Lineage: Eukaryota; Metazoa; Chordata; Mammalia; Primates; Lemuridae
Description: U7 small nuclear RNA (ENSPSMG00000010146.1)
Rfam family: U7 small nuclear RNA
About the family: Animal histone pre-mRNAs are spliced by a different mechanism than nuclear pre-mRNAs and self-splicing introns. This processing involves the U7 snRNP, which contains only one RNA species: U7.
Source: Rfam by way of RNAcentral
UAGUGUUACAGCUCUUUUAGAAUUUGUCUAGCAGGUUUUCCAGUCCCCACUGGAAGACUCCA